This 466-nucleotide ribosomal RNA is filed under the name uncultured bacterium. RNAcentral describes it as "bacterial SSU rRNA". It matches the Rfam family "Bacterial small subunit ribosomal RNA", at positions 35 to 518 of the family's 1533-position model. The record is from RNAcentral.
GGAGUGAACGGCUGGCGGCGUGCCUAACACAUGCAAGUCGAGCGAUUCUCUUCGGAGAAGAGCGGCGGACGGGUGAGUAACGCGUGGGUAACCUGCCUCAUACACAUGGAUAACAUACCGAAAGGUAUGCUAAUACAGGAUAAUAUAAGAGAUUCACAUGGAUUUCUAUCAAAGCUCCGGCGGUAUGAGAUGGACCCGCGUCUGAUUAGCUAGUUGGUAAGGUAACGGCUUACCAAGGCGACGAUCAGUAGCCGACCUGAGAGGGUGAUCGGCCACAUUGGAACUGAGACACGGUCCAAACUCCUACGGGAGGCAGCAGUGGGGAAUAUUGCACAAUGGGCGAAAGCCUGAUGCCAGCAACGCCGCGUGAGUGAUGAAGGCCUUCGGGUCGUAAAACUCUGUCCUCAAGGAAGAUAAUGACGGUACUUGAGGAGGAAGCCCCGGCUAACUACGUGCCAGCAGCCGC